UCGGAUUGUAGUCUGCAACUCGACUACAUGAAGCUGGAAUCNCUAGUAAUCGCGGAUCAGAAUGCCGCGGUGAAUACGUUCCCGGGUCUUGUACACACCGCCCGUCACACCAUGGGAGUCGGAAAUGCCCGAAGCCAGUGACCCAACCGUAAGGAGGGAGCUGUCGAAGGUGGAGCCGAUGACUGGGGUGAAGUCGUAACAAGGUAAC
Molecule: ribosomal RNA, 208 nt
Filed under: uncultured bacterium
Lineage: Bacteria
Description: partial 16S ribosomal RNA
Rfam family: Bacterial small subunit ribosomal RNA
Source: RNAcentral